CCUACGGGUGGCAGCAGUGGGGAAUAUUGCACAAUGGGGGGAACCCUGAUGCAGCGACGCCGCGUGGGUGAAGGAGGAUUUCGGGAUGUAAAGCCCUAUCAGCAGGGAAGAACAAUGACGGGACCGGACUAAGAAGCACCGGCGAAAUAAGUGCAAGCAGCCGCGGUAAUACGAAUGGUGCAAGCGUUCUCCGGAUUUACGGGGUGUAAAGGGAGCGCAGGCGGCGCGGUAAGGCGGGUGUGAAAGCGCGCGGCCCAACCGCGGGACUGCAUUGGGAACUGGCGCGCUGGAGUGCCGCAGGGGUAGGCGGAAUUCCUCGUGUAUCUGUGAAAUGCUUAGAUAUUACG
This 347-nucleotide ribosomal RNA is filed under the name uncultured bacterium. RNAcentral describes it as "partial 16S ribosomal RNA". It matches the Rfam family "Bacterial small subunit ribosomal RNA", at positions 338 to 701 of the family's 1533-position model. The record is from RNAcentral.